Molecule: ribosomal RNA, 235 nt
Filed under: uncultured Actinomycetales bacterium
Lineage: Bacteria; Bacillati; Actinomycetota; Actinomycetes; Actinomycetales
Description: partial 16S ribosomal RNA
Rfam family: Bacterial small subunit ribosomal RNA
Source: RNAcentral
UGCGAACGGGUGAGUAACACGUGGGUAAUCUGCCCUGCACUCUGGGAUAAGCCUGGGAAACUGGGUCUAAUACUGGAUAUGACCUUUCUCCUUAUGGGGUUUGGUGGAAAGUUUUUCGGUGUAGGAUGAGCCCGCGGCCUAUCAGCUUGUUGGUGGGGUGAUGGCCUACCAAGGCGACGACGGGUAGCCGGCCUGAGAGGGUGAUCGGCCACAUUGGGACUGAGAUACGGCCCAG